RNAcentral lists this non-coding RNA (847 nucleotides) under Thenus orientalis. Its description in RNAcentral is "s-rRNA". The stretch from base 436 to 840 matches the Rfam family "Microsporidia small subunit ribosomal RNA", at positions 752 to 1303 of the family's 1311-position model. The record is from RNAcentral. Lineage: Eukaryota; Metazoa; Arthropoda; Malacostraca; Decapoda; Scyllaridae.
AAAAAGUUUGACUCUUGCUUCUGUUCUUAUAAGAUAGUUUAUAAAAUAUAUGCAAAUUUUGGUUGAAAUUAAGGGAGAGAGCGUUUAAUAUUAUAUUCUUAUAAAGUUUGUUGGAAUGUGUGUAUAAUGAAGACUUGAAAGCAGUAUUAAAGUUUCAUAGAAUUAGUGAGAGCUAGAUUGAGUAUAUCUUUUUAGACCCGGUAAAAAUUUAUGCCAGCAGCCGCGGUUAUAUAAAGGGGCCAAGUAAGAAGUAAAUUAGAAUUACAGUUAAUUUUACACAAUCUUUCUUUUAAUAAUUGUGCUGUUAAAGAGUAGAAUGUAUAGAUGGGUAAAAGCAAUUUUUACGGGAAAGUGAGUGGUAAUGAAGCUGUUAAACUCUGGGGAUAAACCAGGAUUAGAUACCCUGUUAUACUAGAGCGGAAAAGCAAUGAUCUUGAGUAAUAAAAAUAAAUUAAUUUGAAAUUCAAAGAGUUUGGCGGUAUUUUAGUCCAGCUAGAGGAACCUGUUUUAUAAAUGAUACUCCACGUAAUAUCUUUCUUGCUUUCAGAAUUAGUAUACCAUCAUUAUUAGAUAAUUUGGAUGAUAAAAAUUAUUGGGGUUAGUCUUGACUAAAUAUAUUAGAUCACGGUGCUGUCUAUGGGCAAGUAUAAAUGGGUUACAAUAAAUUGUAAUUUACUACGGAGCUACUAGUGAAAUAAAGUAGUGAAGGAGGAUUUAAUAGUAAUAUAAGUUUAAUAUGCUUAUAUGAGAGAGGCUCUAAAAUGUGUACAUAUUGCCCGUCGCUUUCAUAAAUAAGUGAGAUAAGUCGUAACAUAGUAGAUGUACCGGAAGGUGCAUCUAGAAAUAA